Molecule: long non-coding RNA, 2086 nt
Organism: Aplysia californica (California sea hare)
Lineage: Eukaryota; Metazoa; Mollusca; Gastropoda; Aplysiida; Aplysiidae
Exons: 2
Source: RefSeq, a predicted model, not a curated record
CAUCCACCCCUUGUCGCUCAUAUGACAUUAUGCAGUAGCGAUCGCCGUAAAACCUUACUAAAACUAAAAUUAUGUUGGGUUCCCUGAUUGGGUGUAGAAAAGGUUGGCAAGCCUGCGUUUCGAAAGUUUUUGCAAAUGUGUUUGUGAUCUGGACAGCGUAGUGUAAAACUCGGGUACGCCACUUUGAAAACUGAUGUUACUCGGACCGAAAGUUACAGCGAGCGGUCGACUUGAAGUCGAGAAAAACUGGUCAGAAGGUGAACGUUUCCAAAAGAAAUGUGAAGCAUUCUGGAAAAAAUUUGCACAUCAAAGGGCACAGGGUUCCGAAGAAUGAGCUUUGAGAAAAUGGUGUUUGAAAUUUUGGGUGAUGUGGAUGUUUGAAGAGUAAAAUAGAAGGUUGGACUUGGUUCUGUUUUUCCUUGCUACAGAAUAUUUGAGCACUGUCUGUUCACUGUGAAAAGUCGUGAAAAUCUCUUUUGUUCGGUUCUUUGCCAUAUCAACAGGCCGAGAGCUAGAACUCAAAUGUCCGCUGGAUCGGAAAAGUAAAGUAUCUUUCGUUUGGUAUCCUAUAUUAAUUAUGUUAAGAAGGGGAUUAGCAUGAAAAUUAGUCUUUUUUCAUAGUCUUUCUCCAUAGUAGUAGUGAAUACUUUGAAAUGUUAGUCAAAGUUGUUGGCUGUAGUAUUAGUGUAAUGUGAUGUUCUGCUGUCUGUGUGUCUAUCAGUGGGAGGACAAGAGGCAAAGUGGGUCGCUGUAUAUGGGUUUAACGCUGCUUUCAACACUUUUAGGUCACUAGAGAGGGGAGAUUUAACGCUGCUUUCAACACUUUUAGGUCACAAGAGAGGGGAGAUUUAACGCUGCUUUCAACACUUUUAGGUCACUAGAGAGGGGGGAUUUAACGCUGCUUUCAACACUUUUAGGUCACUAGAGAGGGGGGACUUAAUGCUGCUUUCAACACUUUUAGGUCAUUAGAGAGGUGGGGGGGCUCCAUUAUGUCACGUCGGUCCCCAGUAGGACUGAGCCCAAUGAGUUGACCAAUGACAGCCUUGAUGUCUCCACUACAGAACCCGAGUGGAAGAACUCCCAGCCUGGGGUUCAAACUUGGGCCAUCCACUGACAGGCGCUAACAACAGGUGUAUGCUUUCUUCUGUAUGCUGAGAAGUUCAUUAACUUUAUCUUUUGAAUACUGCUGCAAUACUUCUUAGGGUCUUAAGUUGAAGUGUUAUGUGUAUUACAUUUCUGAAUACGUUAAACCGGGAUGACUAAGUAAGGCUUAUCUGGGAAAAAGUUAUGAUGAUUUUUAAAUGGGUUUUUUUCGAUAUCAAAAGUGAUUUUGAGUAUUUUUUCAAUGCAUUACCCAAAAGAGUAAUCAAUUUGGGGUGUAUUUGCUUACAUCAUUUUCCCAGCUCUAUGCCUCAGUCACGCCGGGGUGCCGUGGUCACCCCAGUUUACCGUAUAUGUGCUACGAAUGUGAUGACCUUGAUUCUGCUUGUGUGAACCUGAUUGGACAAUAAUUUGCUACGUGUGUUUUCCUAUUGCUGUCGUCACUGGCAGUUCCCCCCCCCAGUAAGGUUGGGAGUCACACUCGACUGUCAUUUAUGUCCCGACCAAGGAUAGUUGUGGGGAAAAGUGCAGAACAGGAAGAUUUUCCCAGAUUUUUCCUACACCGGCGGCUAGUAUAAUCCAUCAGCAGAAGAAUGGUUUAGAAAGUCCACCCCUUACUUAUUCUUUUUAUGGCGAUCACAAAAAAAAAGGGUGGGUGAGGGGGGUGAGGGGGGGGGGCACAAAUUGAUAAUUCAUAAAUUUUUUUUGCUUUCUUUCCUUUUCAUUGCCAUUGUCACAGUACAAUCAUCAUUACUUGUGCAAUGACUCUAUGAGCCGUCUUAUGUUACUUACGUACUAUGUCAUGUCAUCCCCACUGCAAUGAGCCGUCUUGUAUUACUUACGUACUAUGUCAUGUCAUCCCCACUGCAAUGAGCCGUAUGUUUUACUUACUAUUGUUGCUAUAAUGAAAUUGUAAAUACGGUAAACCGGGGUGACUUAGGCAUAUCUGGGAAAAUGUCAUGAUGAUUUUUAGAUUAUUUUUUUC